This 490-nucleotide ribosomal RNA is filed under the name uncultured bacterium. Its description in RNAcentral is "partial 16S ribosomal RNA". It matches the Rfam family "Bacterial small subunit ribosomal RNA", at positions 30 to 507 of the family's 1533-position model. The record is from RNAcentral.
AUUGAACGCUGGCGGCAGGCCUAACACAUGCAAGUCGAACGGUAACAGGAAGAGGCUUGCUUCUUUGCUGACGCGUGGCGGGCGGGUGAGUAAUGUCUGUGAAACUGCCUGAUGGAGGGGGAUAACUACUGGAAACGGUAGCGAAUACCGCAUAACGUCGCAAGACCAAAGAGGGGGACCUUCGGGCCUCUUGCCCUCGGCUGUGCGCAGAUGGCAUUAGCUAGUAGGUGGGGUAAAGGCUCACCUAGGCGACGAUCCCUAGCGGGUCUGAGAGGAUGAUCAGCCACACUGGAACUGAGACACGGUCCAGACUCCUACGGGAGGCAGCAGUGGGGAAUAUUGGGCAAUGGGCGCAAGCCUGAUGCAGCAACGCCGCGUGAGUGAUGAAGGCCUUCGGGUUGUAAAGCUCUGUUAUUAGGGAAGAAAAGAAGCGUGUGAAUACCUCGGCGUCUUGACGGUACCCAAAGAGUAAGCACCGGCUAACUACGUG